GAGGCAACCAAGGAAGAUCAACUAGAAAGAUAUCAAGAUACUCAUUCACCAUAGAAAUAUCUUCAAGUUUCUAAUCUUUUUGUCUAGCAUAGGACACUGUGGCUAGGUAUACCAUACAUGCCUCUCUGAAUAGCUGUCAGAUUUCCAAGAUAGAAAUAACUCGAGGGGAAGUGUAAGUCCCACUAUUAAUAAAACUAAAAUUUGUACCAUUAGAAAUUUGGAAAUUCAUCCUUUUCUCAUGGCAAUCAAUUAUGACAAAAUGUGAAAGCCAACCAAUCCAUACCCAAAAUUAAAUCAAAAUCAUUGAUAUCAAUGACUAUCAUAUUU
RNAcentral lists this long non-coding RNA (327 nucleotides) under Elaeis guineensis (African oil palm). RNAcentral describes it as "long non-coding RNA (EGUI_LNC009602)". Lineage: Eukaryota; Viridiplantae; Streptophyta; Magnoliopsida; Arecales; Arecaceae. The record is from RNAcentral.